Molecule: non-coding RNA, 73 nt
Organism: Genlisea aurea
Lineage: Eukaryota; Viridiplantae; Streptophyta; Magnoliopsida; Lamiales; Lentibulariaceae
Source: Rfam
GAGUCGAUAGCUCAGCAGGUAGAGCACUCGGCUUUUAACCGAUCGGUCCUGGGUUCGAAUCCCAGUCGGCUCA